AGGUUACUCCUUGGCGCUUGCGCGCUGUUUUGAUGAAGAUUCGCACCUCUAUCAAAACGGGUAACCCCGCCUCUUGGCAAGGCCUUACUGUCAGAUCAAGUCUGAACUUCUACACGUAAUGUCUGUAGCUAUUCAGGGGGGCAUUUCAGAAUGAAACACGACGAACAAUUGCACAAUUCAACGCCC
RNAcentral lists this small RNA (186 nucleotides) under Burkholderia glumae BGR1. Its description in RNAcentral is "Proteobacterial sRNA psRNA2". It matches the Rfam family "Proteobacterial sRNA psRNA2". The record is from Rfam by way of RNAcentral. Lineage: Bacteria; Pseudomonadati; Pseudomonadota; Betaproteobacteria; Burkholderiales; Burkholderiaceae.